RNAcentral lists this ribosomal RNA (603 nucleotides) under Hemiaustroboletus vinaceus. RNAcentral's name for it is "Boletaceae sp. OAV-2019c partial large subunit ribosomal RNA". It matches the Rfam family "Eukaryotic large subunit ribosomal RNA", at positions 76 to 675 of the family's 3401-position model. Lineage: Eukaryota; Fungi; Basidiomycota; Agaricomycetes; Boletales; Boletaceae. The record is from RNAcentral.
UCCCCUAGUAACUGCGAGUGAAGCGGGAAGAGCUCAAAUUUUGAAUCUGGCGGUCUUUGACUGUCCGAGUUGUAAUCUAGAGAAGCGUCUUCCGCGCUGGGCCGUGUACAAGUCUCCUGGAAGGGAGCGUCAUAGAGGGUGAGAAUCCCGUCUUUGACACGGACUACCAGUGCUAUGUGAUGCGCUCUCGACGAGUCGAGUUGUUUGGGAAUGCAGCUCAAAAUGGGUGGUAAAUUCCAUCUAAAGCUAAAUACAGGCGAGAGACCGAUAGCGAACAAGUACCGUGAGGGAAAGAUGAAAAGAACUUUGGAAAGAGAGUUAAACAGUACGUGAAAUUGCUGAAAGGGAAACGCUUGAUGUCAGUCGCGUCGGCCAGGGAUCAACCUUGCUUCUCGCUGGGUGCACUUCCUGCUCGACGGGUCAGCAUCAGUUUCCGUCGCCGUACAAUGGUGCGAGGAAUGUGGCACUCUUCGGAGUGUGUUAUAGCCUUUCGUCGUAUGCGGUGGUAGGGACUGAGGAACUCAGCACGGCUUCACAGCUUGUGUUUAGGAUGCUGGCAUAAUGGCCUUAAGCGACCCGUCUUGAAACACGGACCAAGGAGUC